GGCUUUCUGAGCCCAUGAGGCCUCCAUCCUUAUCUCUGUUACCUUGGUGCCCAGGGAAGCCAAGGCAGUGUUGUCUUGUUCUGUUGGUGGUGGUUGGGGGUAGUUUCUUAUAACCUUUAAUCUUCGGAACAACCCUGACCUGAUUGCCCUGUGGGAGCUGUACAGAAUGUCCACCCUUUCUUUUUCCUGACAAUCACUUUCAAAUACUUGAAUAAAAUUCUCAAAUACGAUAGUUAGGGAUGGAUAAAGAGGUGGAACCUGAAGAUGAAUCAUAGCAUUUGGAUUGAUGGAAAUGAGAGCACAGACAUUAUAGAUGUGAAAACAGACUCAAGAGAUGUGAAGUAAUCCAGUUCACUCAGGUAUUAAGUGACAGAGAUUUGAAGGCAGACUUAUGCGAUUCCAAAGGAUAUGUUUUCUGCGCUAGCCUAGGCUGCUUCUUGGCUACGUAAAGCAUUGAGGCGGGGAGCAGGGAAAUGGAGAAGGACAAGCGACUCUUACCUGAUGCUGUUGUAGUCCUUUCUCUACGGUUGCUACUUCUCCAGACUACUCUCAUUCUCAGCCCACGUAGGAAAUCAGAAGAUAAUUUAAAAUUAAAUGAUGAUGGCUCUGAGCUUAAAGCACUUUGAAAAAGAGAGGAAAGAAACAUAUCACAACUUGACAGGGCUGGGAGUGAGAGUCAGAAGCUUGCCCAGGAUGUCCAGAAGAGCUGCUGGCAGGUUCUCUGACUUUUAGAAGCAAAAAGAGCAUUUGUCAAACUCUGACAAAUCAGAAUUCAAAUUUCUGCUCUGCGACUUAUGAGCCACAGAACCUGGGACAAGUUAGCUUUCUAGGUCUCAGAGUUCACAUCUGGAUAAUGGGAUUAUUUAUUAUUUCACAACAUAGCUGUGAAAUUGAAUGAGGUGAAAAGUAUGUAACAGUGCCGAGCAUAUUGCCUGGUAUAUAACAUGCAUUAAACCAGGGGUUGGCAAACUUCUGUCAAGGGCCAGAUAGUAAAUAUUUUAGGCUUUGCAGGCCUAUCGACUCAAGUUGGCCGUGAUAACAUGAAAGCAGCUGGAGACGAUAUGCAAAGGAAGGAUCAUGGCUGAGUUCCAAUAAAACUUUGUUUAAAAAAGACAAGUGGGCCAGUUUCAGUCUGUGAUCUGUAGUUUGCAAAUCCCAGCACUUAACCGAUAUUACUUUCUUACUUUUCCCCCAAUUUGUCUUCUCUGAGAUUAAGGUUUUUCAUGUGUAUCACAUUGAAAAUAGUACCUACCAAAAGUUUUAUUUAUUUAUUGAGCAUCUGUUGUAUACAAAGGACUGAGUCAAAUGCAAUGAACAACAGAGUGAAUAAAAUUUCCUUCUACCCUUGAGGGGCUUAAAGGAUAACAGAAAGAGCUGAAUUUAUCUCAGCUUGGUCUUCCUAGCCAGAAUAUGGUUGAAGAGUAUUUAUUUCAUGGAGUUACUAUGAAGAUGAAAUAAAGCAUCAUGUUUAAGUGUGGAUGCAGUACCAGCCAUUAGGGAGAAGUGGUUAUUGGACUUAACCUUUUUGCUGUGAAGAAUGUAAAACUGGACAAAAUGUACGAAGAAACUCUUUUCAGACAUUGGACCACAGAGAACACAGGGCUGUGAUGCUUGAGAUAAGGAAAACACCAGAUUUCACUCCAGCUUUCUGCCCAUGACCCCUAGCUAAACCUCAGCACAGCAAAGUGGAGCCCAGUUAAAAAAGAAGUUGAGCCCAAUUAAAAAAAAAGUUUUUAUUCCUUUUUAAAGAAGUGGCUUCACUGGAGAGAGGCAAGACAGAUUAGAGUUUGGGGCCGCUGAUGUAGCUGGAAGUUAUCGAUCAGAUUACUGAGGAGAAGGCAGAUGCACAGAUAACGUGACUUCAGAAAUCUGCACAAGGAUCCCCUUGAGUUUUGAGGUGAAUGGAAAGCUGUGUAUGCACAGAUCAAGGUUCAGUGAGAUUAGGCAGAGAAUAGCUAUUGGAUAACUGUGAACUGGAAAGAAUCUUAGAGGUUGCACAGUGCAGGAAGAUGGGGUUAUAAUGACCUAAAGUGGAGAGACCUCAUAAACACCCUGGGCAUUCAACUGAGAUCCCGGAAAAGCUAUGACUCAAGAGUAAGACUACUCUGGCUCUAGAAGAAGGCCACUCUAGAUCCAUCAUAAAAAAGCUUAAAACCAAGCGUUGAGAGGAUAAAGCUGAUUUGUCAAUAAAUUAAGUGCCUGCCAGAACAAAGCAUAACAGUCUUUAAAGGAAGGCAACAAAAUUCAGACUUAUAUAACAACAUAGAAUCUACAAUCGAAUAUAUAAUAAUAUAUUUGAAGACAUAUGAAGAACUAGGAAAAUGUGGCACUUAACCAGGAGAAAGAUGAGUCAGUAGCAACAGACACAGAAAUACCACAGAUCUUGGAAUUAACAGAUAUGUUGCUCUAUUUUGGGCCACACCCACUUCACCUCCAAUCCCCCAUCCCUGACCCCUGGCAACCACUAAUCUAUUGUCUAUUUCUAUAUGUUGUCAUUGCAAGAAUGUAAUAAAUGGAAUCAUACAGUAGUCAACCUUUUGUUAAUGGCUUUGUUUUGGGGGGGUAACAUUGGUUUAUAACAUUAUGUAAAUUUCAGGU
Molecule: non-coding RNA, 2598 nt
Organism: Equus caballus (horse)
Lineage: Eukaryota; Metazoa; Chordata; Mammalia; Perissodactyla; Equidae
Source: RefSeq, a predicted model, not a curated record